This is a non-coding RNA of Hypoxylon cercidicola, 132 nucleotides long. The record is from the annotation of a GenBank genome assembly. Lineage: Eukaryota; Fungi; Ascomycota; Sordariomycetes; Xylariales; Hypoxylaceae.
GCCGGUCUGGCCGAGGGGUUAAGGUGGUAGUCUAAUUGCCUACUCCUAUCCGAGGUGACUUGGGAAGGUUCUUGUAGGUGGCUUAACGAGCUACUGGAGCAAUCCGCGCAGGUUCGAAUCCCGCGGCCGGCA